GAUGAACGCUGGCGGCGUGCCUAAUACAUGCAAGUCGAGCGAACAGACGAGGAUCUUGCUCCUCUGACGUUAGCGGCGGACGGGUGAGUAACACGUGGAUAACCUACCUAUAAGACUGGGAUAACUUCGGGAAACCGGAUCUAAUACCGGAUAAUAUAUUGAACCGCAUGGUUCAAUAGUGAAAGACGGUUUUGCUGUCACUUAUAGAUGGAUCCGCGCCGCAUUAGCUAGUUGGUAAGGUAACGGCUUACCAAGGCAACGAUGCGUAGCCGACCUGAGAGGGUGAUCGGCCACACUGGAACUGAGACACGGUCCAGACUCCUACGGGAGGCAGCAGUAGGGAAUUUUCCACAAUGGGCGCAAGCCUGACCGAGCAACGCCGCGUGAGUGAUGAAGGCCUUCGGAUCGUAAACCUCUGUUAUUAGGGAAGAACACAUGUGUAAGUAACUAUGCGCGGCUUGACGGUACCGGAUCAAAAAGCCACGGCUAACUACGUG
Molecule: ribosomal RNA, 497 nt
Filed under: uncultured bacterium
Lineage: Bacteria
Description: partial 16S ribosomal RNA
Rfam family: Bacterial small subunit ribosomal RNA
Source: RNAcentral